Molecule: transfer RNA, 70 nt
Filed under: Brachymyrmex patagonicus
Lineage: Eukaryota; Metazoa; Arthropoda; Insecta; Hymenoptera; Formicidae
Description: tRNA-Val
Source: RNAcentral
AAAAUUUUAGUUUAUAAAUAAAAUUUUUUAUUUACAAUAAAAAGAAUAAUUUUUAAUAAUUAAAAUUUUA